UUUAAUGAGAGUUUGAUCCUGGCUCAGAACGAACGCUGGCGGCGUGCCUAACACAUGCAAGUCGAACGGAGUCAUUUUGAAGUAGCAAUACGGAAGAAUGACUUAGUGGCGCACGGGUGAGUAACACGUAGGUAACCUGCCCUUAAGAGGGGGAAAACCCGCCGAAAGGCGAGCUAAUACCGCAUAAGACCACGAACUGAGAUGUUUGUGGUAAAAGGAGCAAUCCACUUAAGGAUGGGCCUGCGGCCUAUCAGGUAGUUGGUGAGGUAACGGCUCACCAAGCCUAAGACGGGUAGCCGGUCUGAGAGGACGGACGGCCACACUGGAACUGAGACACGGUCCAGACUCCUACGGGAGGCAGCAGUGGGG
Molecule: ribosomal RNA, 369 nt
Filed under: Nitrospirota bacterium
Lineage: Bacteria; Pseudomonadati; Nitrospirota
Description: bacterial SSU rRNA
Rfam family: Bacterial small subunit ribosomal RNA
Source: RNAcentral